Long non-coding RNA from Calidris pugnax (ruff), 1093 nucleotides. RefSeq lists it as uncharacterized. The transcript is spliced from 3 exons. The record is from RefSeq and is a predicted model, not a curated record. NCBI's taxonomy places the organism in Eukaryota, Metazoa, Chordata, Aves, Charadriiformes, Scolopacidae.
CAUUCACCUGCCCGCGCCGCCUGUCCGUGCAGCCAGCUCCGCCGGGACCGGCGUUUCGGGACGGGGGAGGCGGCAGGGAGCCCCUCCGCUGCCCGGAGGAGACAAGCCCGGAACGUCUCGUCGCCCUCCCGGUGCCCACGGCCGAAGGCGGGGGUGACAGCCGGGACCGCGCCGCCGGAACCGAGCGCACGGAUGGCCGCCGGUUUUGUUCAGCGUGACGUACUGUUCCAGACCUUUGUUGUCCCAAGUGACCUGGGAAAUACUCCCUGCUUCAUGUCAUGAAGAGUAUUUUACUGGCUCCUCACUUUUGGUGCCAAAGGCAAUUGCUGUUUUUCAGGGAAAGGACUUUCCAGUGAAACAAACUGAGAAAAAAAUGACUGAGUGGUUGAUCUUCCCUCCACCCAGCAUCAGUGUUUCGUGGCUGUGUGUAGGGACCGCCAAGCAGCGUGAAGCACAGUGUAGGACAGAGGCUCCUCCGGGUGCUGGUGCUCCCACUGACAGUAAGUAUCCAGCACCGAACCAGAGCACACCAGAGGUUUACAGCCAUGUGAAUUCUGGGGAAAGAUCUUAUUAAACCCAGCGUCCAGCCUUUUUUUUGUACUGUGUUUAAUUUCCUCUUUCUCAUUCUCUUUUUCCUCUGCCCAUCCUUUGCCCGCACAUUUCUUCCAUCUCUUUCCUCCUCUCUCUUCUCCUUUUCCCUGUCCCAGUCUUUUUCCCUGUGGUCUUUCCUCUUCUAAUGUUUGCCUACCUCGGGCUGGGCCUCUCCCGCAGCCCCUGCCAGGCCGCCGGUUCCUGCCGCACUAAAUCAGUGCUCCCGGAGUCAAUGGCUCCUCUCAGGCACUCACAGGAGGUGCAAAUCCAGGGGGGCAAAUUAAGCAUAGCGACGCGCAGGCGGAGCGGCCGAGUAGCCAGAAGGCUUCAGCAGCUAAAAUCCAAGUGGGUUCAGGUUUGUUUUUUUCUUGCUUUGAUUUGCUCAGAGUUUAUGCUGAAUUCUUUGAGUAUGGCAUUUCCUAUUUGUUUUCUUCCCCUUCCCUGCUGCCCUCCCUUCAGCUCUGCUCCUGCCUGUCAGUUUUUAUAUACUCUGUACCUUGCC